CAGUAGGUGAAACACUUGACAACCAAAUACAUAAAAAGAAAUAAAAAAGAGUUAGAAAAAUUCACAAAAAUUAAAAUUGAAAAUACAAAAAGAUUAAAAAAGAAAUUGCUUUUGAAAAAUGAAAAUAUCAAACCCCUUCUUCAGAACAAUUCAAACAGGGGGCUGCAGGUUCUUAAUCUAACAGUAAUUAAAAUUCCACUGAAACCCCAACCCUCUAUUUGAUUUUUUUUUUUUUUUUUUUUUACUCACAAGAAUUAAUUCCAACAUAGAACUCGAGCUCUGGAAGAGAUAAAAGGAAAAGACACAGAUGACUGAGUCCGACUGAGACAGAGUCGCCAGUAUACCGCAAAGGUCAGCACCCAGUUGAAUUUGCGAGUUUGGGUUCGAGUCCCAGUCACACAGGAAAGUAGGUAAUUAUCCUAACCAGCUGAAGUAUCAAAACCUGUUUCUAUAAGCCUGCACAUUACAAGUUAAUUGUCAGCAAAGGAGGGGCCGGCAACGAUAAACAACACAUCAUCUCCUAAUUAUAAAACAUGUAAAAUUAAUGUAUUUUACCAGUCCCAAAAUCCCUUUUCUUUAGAGAUAAUCUCCCCAUAGCAACUAUAAAUAUUGUGGGGGUGGAAAAAAUGACCACAAAGAAGAACAGUCCCUUCUUUUUCUCCAAACAAAUACAACCAUUUCAGCUCACAUCUAAGCUGAGAACCAUUCUAGUUCCAAGUUUCAACCAAUGAAACAACCAUAGUAUUCUCAUAAAAAUAAAAAAUGAAAUAACCAUAGAAUAAAAUAAUUAUACUCUAAUUCAAACAUUGCUUCAGAAUUUACGAUUUAUGGUAGACUCAAUUGGUCAAACCUACGGAAUUGGAAUUAAGGUUCUUACAAUACUGAAAUGAUCAAAUUUCAUUCACUCUAAACAUGAGAUGCAACUUGUACUAUUUCAAGUUAUUCAGUAAGCAUUAAGGGUGUGUUUGGUACCCCACAUUAUAUGGUAUAAAAACACCGUUUUGUAUUAAAUUUAUGCAGACCCACACGUUUGGCGCUAAAAGUAGCUACAACAACAUUACAUUAAUGAGCCGUGCUAAUGCGGCAACUGCCGCAUUAGCUAAACCCGACUGUGCUUGCCUCUUUUUUUUUUUUUUUUUUAAAAAAAAAUCUUUAUGAUUAUAAUAAUUAAAAAAUAAAUAAACUUUUGAAUUUAAUAUAGUAUUAUGUAAUAUUAAUAUUAAUCUUUUAUUUUUAUGUUAUAAUUAUUGAUAUAAAUUAAUAAAAUUACAAUUUAUUAGUAAAUUUAUAAUUUAAUAUAAUUAAUAAUAAUAUUAGUUUAAAUAAUAAUAUAAAUAUUAUUACAUAUACAAAUAUACUACAGAACUCUUACUUGAAUUAUUUAGCACAAUUCAUUUUGUUAGUGAAUAUGUUAUAAUUAAAAAUUAAUACAAUACAGUGUAGCACCAAACAUUGUACAAUAUUAUUAUAAUACAAUGCUAAUGCAAUACAGUAUAAUACAAUACAUCAGCAUUAAAAUAAUGCAAUACGAUAUAAUACAAUACAAUAUACCAAACACACUCUAAAAGAAAUUUGUUCAUCCUACGUGGUAUAAGUAGUAUACUUCAGCUAGUAUUAUGCAUCAUCAGUUAAAUCAUUUGGAUUAUUAACAUUGAUAUUUUUUUAUUAGCUGAAUUGAUGACUGUCGCACCCCUGACUUAGAGGCACGUGUGAUAAGAAAAGUUUAUCUACAUCAGAUGCAAGUAUAAGCUUUUAACAAUUAAGCUGUGACAGUUUGCUUGCAAGAACAAACGUAUACUAAUUAGAGAUGAAUAAGACCCAGCACUUCAAGAAAAAUUUGACAUUAUCUGCCCUAAAAUAUGGAUACUAUCCAAUAUAUCAAACCAGCAAUUUUUAUACCCAGCUGCUUAAAACUUCAAAAAAAUAAAAAAAUAAAAUAAAAUAAAACAUAACCUCCUCAAGUCAACUCUAUUACUCUACUACCACCAUCGGUCAAUAUGACAUUUGGGGCCUCCAGGACCCUAUUACUACAACACUAACGGAUAUGAGUGCAUCCUACUAAUAUUGCUUAGUCAUUCUUAAUACAUGUAAUAAAAAGCAUAAUAUCUACAACAAGGUAGCUUACAAAGUUUACUAGGCCAGCAAUGUCAAAGUACAACCAGAACAAUAACAAAAAUAUACGAAGACUGUUCUUCAUUUCAAAACACAACUUUCAAAAGAGGUAAUCUCCAUGUUAAGCCCCAAAUCAAAAUCAAUCCUCCACUGACCUCAAUUUCUUCACAAUAAUUUACCAAACCUGAAUAGUAAGGGGUGAGCUAAUGCCCAGUAGAUAGUUACGCACAAAAAAUGAUCUUUUUUUUUUUUUAACACCAAAGUAAUUCACACAACUUGGGUACAUUUCUAACAUGAACCAUUUAUAUAAAUAUAAAAAAAAAAUUAUUUCUUAAAACAUUUUAAGUUUGAAAGUUGGUAUUCAACAGAAACGUCAUAAGACAAGAUCAAAACAACAUACACACAUAAAUAUAGUGUUGCUCAUACUUUCUGUAGUUGUGUAAAGAAAUCCUAAAAUUACUCUUUCAAUAAUACAAAAUAAAAAAAGUGCCUGACAGUGGCGGUGCCAGAAAUUUAACUUAGCAGGGGCUAAGUUUAAAUAAUAAUGUAAUUUAAAAAAGGUCAACAAGUAACAAGUACCAAAAAUAAAAAUUCAUUAAUAUAUUCAAUACAUUUAUAAUUGAUCUCGAUGUGUUUUCAUAUGUUAAAAACGUUAAAGAAAAAACUUAUCAUCAAGAAUACAAAAUAAAUCUUUUUCUACAUGUGUAACAAUAAUGUUACUCAAUUAUUAAUCUCUAAUCUGAUUUCACAGACGAUUUUUCACAAAAUUCAUAGUUGAAAAUGCCUUUUAUUACUGUAGUGAUGACAACUAGUAAAAUCAAUGCUAAUGUUAUCAAUAAAUAAAUUAAUGAAUACAAUUUAUCUUUUUUAGUAUCAACUAUUUUUCUUGUUAGCAUAUCAAUCUGUUUCAAUUUUGAAAAUUUGUUAUUAGAACCCACCUAUGUAAUGUAAACAUCAAAUUGAAUUUUAAGUGUCAUAAGAUUCAUUGAAAAAAAAUCAUUUUGAUAAACUCAAUAAGAUAAAAUAAUUUCUAUUUUUUUGUGCGAGGAGAGUUUGGGUGCAACGAAUCUCAAAAUGACAAUUUCUUUGUGGGUUGGAAGUUAAAGAUAAAUACUUAAUAUUUUGGUUAUUUUUAAAUUUUAACAUUCUUCGAACAAAUUAAAGGCCAACAAUGAAAAUUUCACAUAAAAACAACCAAAAUACUUGCAAAUAGCUUAAAUUAAAAGUUUUCUGUCUCGUUCAAUAGGGUUGGCAAUCAAGCCCAAGCCCAACCCGAUCACACAAACAAAGUGCCCGAGCCCUAAAAAAACCCAACUGUUUUACAUUUGGGUCGGGAUAGGGUCAAGGUUGGGCUCAGACUUUCUUGAGCCCGACCAAAUUUUUUAAUUUUUUAAUAUUUAAAUAAUUUAAAUUUAUAUCUCAUAAUACCAUAGUGGUGGUUGGCAUGGCAGCAAGCGGUGCUGAUGAUGGAAGUUGCAACAACAUCUGUCGUGGGCUCAUGACGUGAGUCGCAGCUGCGGUCAAUUUGGUGGCGGGCUAGUGGCGUAAUGGAAGUAGCAACAGCAACUGGUAGCUCGCUUCUCUUGCAUUAGGGUUUAGAAUGGGAUAUGUGUGUGUUUGUGUGGUGUGAGUCGUAUGAAUGUGAAUAUGUGAUACUGUGAAUCUAUGAUCAUGUGAUGUGAGUGUGUGUUAUAUGUUCAUGUGUGCGUGAGAAAUUUUGUUAAAAUUUGUGUGCGUGAGAAAUUUUUUUUUUUUUUAAAUUUGUUAACUAAUUGGGUUGGGUCAGGCCUUAACUUGAAUUUGAUUGAGCUUUUAUUUUUAAGCCUAGCUUGAAUUUUAACCCUUAAAUUUAAAUCAAAUCUCAAAAAUUUUGGAUCAGGUCAAUUGGGUCGAAAUUCAAGUCGGACUUUUUUGCCAUCUCUAUCAUUCAAAGAGACGCCAACAAUUUUGGAAACUUUUUGUUAGACCUCAACUUUAAAAUACAGUAAAAUCUCUAUAUAGUCAUAUUAUUGGGACUGGAGAAAUUUUUUCUUAUAAAAAGGUUAUAACUCAAUAGAGGUAUAGUAUAAAAAUUUAAUUAUUAUCUUUGCUUAAUUAUCCUUAAUGCAAGUGAUAUAGAGGUAAAUUAUGUCAUGUAUUAAUAAAUUAAUAAGUGUGUCAAAUUUAAUGUAUAGACAUUAAUAAACUACAAACAUACUUGAGAAGUUAGAAAUAUUUUAGUUUCAACUUGAUAUUUCUUGAAAACUUCAUGUGUAUAGAUUGUGGACAUUUGUUUCUCAAAGGGUAAAGGAGACUUCAACACCAGUUUCUUGUGCUAUGUAUUGAAACUUGCAUAAGCUUCCUUUUCUUGUCUGUCUUGUAAAGCCACUUUGUAUUGUUUAACAAAUUCUUCCACUGAUGUCUUCUUACUAACAUAUUUGUCAAAAAAAGAGUUGAUACUUUUGGAUCGUUGGAUUGUAGAUAAUCCAGCAACGAACGUAUCAUUCAUAUAAGUCACCCAAAACUGCAGUCUUCAUUUAAUGAUCUUAGCCACUCAUUCCCUUCAAGCUCAAACUCUUCAAUUAUACCCCACCAUUUUUUUCUCAACGUCCUCCUCUAACCAUGAGUUGUAAACAUAUUCAUUGAAUAUUUUCAUAAAAGAUUCAUCUUUCUUUAUCACAUGGCUAAGCUUUUUGGGAAUCUUCCUAAGUAUGUGCCACAUACAAAAUUGUUGUCAUGAAUUCAUAAAGGCAAUAGAAAUGGCUACUUUCAUAGCCUUGUCUUGAUCAGUUAAUAUAGCAAUUGGAUGCUUUCCACCCAUAGUCCUCAGCCAUGUUUGCAUUAGCCAAACAAAUGUUAACGUAGUCUCAUCAGCAAGCAAUGCACAUCUAAGAAAUAGAGAUUAAAAAUGGUUAUUCACACUAAUAAAAGGAGCAAAUGGCAUUUUCUUUUUGUUUGUAAUAUAUGUAGUAUCAAAGGAAACAACAUCUCUAAAAAUCUUAUAAUCCUCUCUACUAGUUGCAUCCACCCAAAAAACUUCUUCAUCUAAGUCCACAGCUUAAAAGAAAUUAAUAUUCUUUCCCUGCAUUUGCAUAAAGUGGAUAAGCAUUGCUCUAGCAUCACCUAAUUCCAAUGCUAAUCGAUGUUCUUUAUCCAAAUGGUUUCUAAUAUCUUUCUUUGUGUACCCAACAUUUUUAUAUCCACCAUUUUUUUGGCCAUUACAGCAAAAAUCUUAUUUAUACCAAUACCAACUGCAUGUAACAUAUUAAUACUAUGUUUAUUGGAAAAUGCAAUACUUCUAUGACAUGAAAAAUAAUGUGCAUGUCUAGGAUAAAGUUCAUGGUUAUGUUCUUUUAUGAAAUUUUGAACGUACCACUUGCCACGAGAGUUUAUUUUGUCAUGCAACAAAGCCGUUGAUUGAUAGCACUAGAUUCUCAUUUUAUCUCAUAUCUACCUUGUACAUGUGAAUUUUGCAUCAAUAAUUUCCCUAGAAAACUUUGAUCAACGGCUAGAUUUCUUUGAGGUACCGAACCUUGUAUACUUAACAUACUUUAGAUAGAAAAAAUAUGCAUUAUCUUGUGUAUCAAACUCCAACCCAGUAUAAGGUUCUAAAUCCAUGUCAUCGUUACCAUCCACCAUGUUUUUAUUCACCAUAUUUCUAUCAAUCACAUUCAUGCACUCAUCGAAAUUUGUAUUUAAGUCAAUCCGUAAAUUCAUGACUACCUAAAGACACAAAAAGAAAAAUGUAAACAACAACAUUGUAUAAAUAAUCGAGCAUUAUAAAUGCAAAUAAUUGAUUUUCAUAUAAACUUACUAAUUAUUCAAACAUAAUUAUAAAGAAUUAGUUCUCUAAUAAAUAAAUACCAAUUACCUUAAUAAUCUUCAUAAUAUAAAUAGAAAAUAAAUACACAAAUUUUCUUUUAUUAUUAUACAUUAACAAUGACAAAUCAUCAUGACAUCUAAUCUAUAUAAAAAAGAUAAUAGUAUUUUUAAUUUUAGGAGCCAGCUACUUUGCAUCGGUGAUUCCAAAUCCCUCAAUUUUGUUUUUACCAAACCUACCGUUGGAUAUUAUCUCUAAUGGAUGGAAAAGAUACACACACAAGUCAAAGUAACCUGACAAACAAGUUAGGAGCCAGUACCAAGGAUUAGGAAUGACCAUUUGAUCGGUGCUUUUCUUGUAUAAUCUCAGGUUGGUACAAUUAUGUAAAAAGGGGUCGAUUCCUAUUUUCCUUCAUUGUUGAUUAAGGACAGCAUUCCACUUAUUGACGCUAUUCCCAAAUACAAUCCUAAUUUCUUUCAAACUAAAAUUUAUGUAACUGGGUGUGAAGGAACUUUAAAGUGACAUGAGAUUUUUAAGUAGGCAAAUUUAAGAAUAUAGUUAAUGCUAAUUGGGAGCAACAAACCGAAUUUUUCAGUUCAACCUGAACAAAAAGCUAAUUUUUUUAUGGAGUUUGUAGGAUUGGAGAAGAAAAAGUAUUGACACCGGUAAAGUCGGUAGCAUUUAAUCUCUUUUAUCUCACCUAUUCUAUUUGAGCCGUUGGAUUACUAGACUUUCAAUCCACCGGCAGUUUUUGUAAAAGACAAAAUAAAGGGGUUACUUAUCACCACAAUAAAGUAGCCGGACCCUUAAUUUUAAAUAUAUAAUAAAAAAUUAAUGUAAUUUAGGUGAUAUUAGAAAAUGUUGUUUUAUAAAGGAAAAGUUAAGUGAAUCUACCUGAAUCAAUUUUGCAAAACAACUCAUUUAUGGCAAUUGAGACUAUAUUUCCAUAUUAAAACUUUCACUGACAAAUGCUCUGCACUCACAUGGUGCUUUUGAGAGUGAGAACUAAGGAGUAGGUGAAAAUGUAAUGUGUCGAAGAAGCUUCACAAAAAUAGAAGAGCAAUUUAGUAUUUGAAUAAAGAAGUAAAUGGCAUUUGAGUGUAAAUAUGUUUAAAGUAACGAGUAAAAUAAUAUCCAAUACCUUAUUGAAAGAAUGAGACAGAAUUAUUACAUGUGGUACUAGUAAAAUAUAAAAUUGGACACUUAUCGAAUUUGAGAGAAGCAAGCGAGUCAGUCGCUCAUGUAGCACUCUUCGGUUUUAAAUAUCUUUUAAAAGAGGUGCUAAUAGUCCAACUAUAUCCGUUUUUCAUUAAGCUAACUUUGCAUAACAAAGUGAUAAGAUAAUGAGACAUAAAUAGGCCAUCAAGAAAAGUAGAUACAAGAGGCAACAAAUGAUAUUGCCAAAAGAAUGGCGAGGUUUCCAAAAUGCAGAGAAAUACGACGGAUAGUGAGCUGGAAUUUGAUGGUUGUGCAGAUAAAGAUCAGUAACAAUGGCAGGGCAAGAACCAGAAAGAAGAGUUGAAGCUUUAGAGGAUAUAAAAGGAGUCGAUUUGUGCCAUCUUGGACCGAUCUAGUGUUCCCAUUAUCAUAUUUUAAGAACCCAAAGAACACGAUCAAUAUGAUUUAGAAAUUGUAGCAAUUAAACCCUUGAUAAUCAAUUAAAACCUUGAUGUAACUGAUUGAUUGACCUACCUUUUUAUUUAUUUUGAAUUUAUUUAAAAAUUUUGUGAAUUUUUUUGUAACUCCGAAAAACUUGUUAUUUAUUAAAGACUAUUGAUGUUUUUAACACCCCUUUAAAAUCCCAUUUUAAAUUUUGUUUUUUUUGGUCUUAACAAUAAGGUAUCCUAAGGAGGGCCCCAACUGUAGAAGGCACCUUUAAGCCUGUACCACAAUCCAAAUUAGAAGUUCCCGCUCGAACCGGGAGACACAGGUUCUCCCAACAAAGGCGACUUCCCUGCGACUCGAACUGGAGAGCAAACCCAGUCAAACCACUUAAGAAGACUCCAUUGCUAGUGGAGCCAACACUUUGUUGGUCCAUUUUAAAUUUUAUUUCUUAACAAAAUCAGUCAAAGCGUCACUUUCCUUCGAAAAGGUACACACACAGAGAGAGAGAGAGAGAGAGAGAGAGAGAAUCCAGCCUACAACAAUUUCAUUUCUCAUUAAUGCUAACUUAGCUAAGGCCAUUCCAUCCACUUUAAAGUAACUUCAUGUGAAAACAGAUUGAAUUUCAAUUUUACUAGGAGAUCGUUUGUAUGAUGCACCAUAUGUAUCAUACCGUUCUCUGGAUAUACCUGUUUCAAGAUAACUAUGCUUCAGACUUCAGAGAACAAUAAUAUACAACAAGACCAAACAUAAAAAAGCCAAUUAAAUUACUGCAAAUAAAAGUCUGCAAAUACAAUAAGACCAAUAUAUAUAUAUAUGUGUGUGUGUGUGUAAAUAAAUAAAUAAAUAUAUUUUGCACCGAAACACGGUCUUAGAAAGAGUGAUUUUGGUUUUUGAUUCAACAAGAGUGAGAGUGAUACAAACCGAUUAUUUUUAUUGAAACAUAAAAUAAAAUGAAAAGGACAAACAAUAUAGAAGAGUAAAAAUAGAUUAGUUUGAGGAAAUUUAAGCCUUCAAAAUAAGUAUAGAGCAUUAGAGAAACCAAUAAACUUCUAUAUACAACUUAAGUUGUAGUAAAAAACUAUAAAUCUAUAAUCAUCCCAUGCUUUAUCUUAAUCCAAUUAUUCCUGAAAAUAAGAGACUUCAUAGCUUCUUCAUUUCGAAUUUCCUAUAGACAAGUACAACUUUUACUUUCUUUUGGCAUUUCUCAAAUAUUAGCUCUCUAUAAACUUGAGAAGUGUUUAUAUGGGUUGAGAAAAGCUCCUUGUUGUUUCCAUAAAGGUAAAUAUAUCUUGAAUUCUUAACCUUUUGGAGGAAUUUAUAUCUUUAGGUUUACGAAGAGAAAAUGCCAACAAUCUUCAGCUAACCCACUUGAACACACCCUUCUUUCCUCUAUUGACAACUAAGAUUACUGCGGGGAUCUCAUAAUCGGGCUUUGGUUCUCGAAUGAGUUUGAUAAACCUUCGUCUCUAGAGCUGGACCCAAUUGAGGUUUUUAGAUUUAUAGAAACCCAUGGCCUACUUCAACCCAAGAACUAAUUCAAAAAUAGAAGAUUCCUCAAGUUUAUAUUGUUAGCCUAGUUACCAUUAUCCUUGAGAUAAUAUCCUCAACAAUAUUCCCAUUUUACGGCGCAGUUCGGAGAUGAUACAUGUAAUGGUAGGCAAUCUGGGGGGCUGAAUCCAAUUUGGUAAUCGCCACCUUUCGGCUGCUUUAAAAUGAAUAUUAUUGAUGCUGCAAUGGAUCAGACGGCUGGGAUAGCAGGACUUGAUAGGAGACAGCAAGAUUCUGGGCCUAGUCCUUUCUUGGGCUUCUCUCCCUUUUUAAACUUGUAGUUUCAUUUUCGUAAUGGACCUUUUGCUCUUCUUAAUUAGGCCUGGGCAUGCUGUAAGUGUUUUCUUGUCGGAGUUAAAGCGAGUGAUGACAAACUUUACGCAACGUGGCUCCUGCGUUUCUACUGUGCAAGUCAUUUUUAUUAAUCAAUUGUCUACCAUACUAUUUACUUUGAAAUAAAUUGAUAUUUCAUUCAUCAUAGAGAACUUUGAGUACCAUCGUACAUCCACUACAAACACACAUAAAAAUCGAUUAACAGAUUAUUUAUUGCAAGUAGACAAUAGAUUAAGUUAUUGUAUUUUCAAGUUAUGAGAGGAAAAACGAUUAUUUAUAAAAUGCAAUGUAUAUUCAUUCUUCCCUUAAUCCACAGGUAAUUAAAGUUUUAAUAAAUAGAUGUAUACAGGUAAUUGCCUAAGGUCUACCAAGCUUCUCAGUUAAUCUACUCAAAAGAAACUUCUCAACAGUCACGUUUUGAUAAAUUGGGAUAUUUUUAACGCCUUUAAUCUUUGAAAGCUCACUCUUAGAAUUGGUUGCCGAGUUUCCGACUAUUAAUUCAACUGUAGUCAUUACUACACGCACACAUAUUUAUGCUUAUGAUACAGUCAGAUUGAAUCUGUUAUAGGCUAAUUAAUUACAAUAUGUUUCUUUUACAAGCUAUAUGAUUGGACCUUAAUUAAUGAUCGAAGAAGAAAUUAUAAGAUUAAGUACUUCUCCUAGAGCUAAUAUUAAUGUAACAAAACAACUUCAGAUAUUUCCCAAUAAGCCACUAGAUCAGGAUCAAAUCCACCAGUCAAUAUUCCACGAGAUUUUUCCAUUUCAUGAAUUAAUAGGUCUGCCAUCACUAGAUUGAGUACGGAAAUUAAAAAAAAAAAAAGAGUAGAAAUGAAAAAUAAAGGAAAUAUCAAUCAUACCUUUUCUUCAGGAGAAAUCAGAUGGAGGGUGGCGCUGGUUUUUUUAUCUAAAGAUGACUCCAUGGAUAAUCCCUUGAAGCCCCAACGCUCUAUUUUUUUUUUGGUUGUUUAAGAAUUAUUUUCGACAAAGUACUUGAACUCGGGGAGAGAUAGGCCUGGAGACAUAUAUAGAUAAGGCAGCGUCUUACGGUCCUAAUGCUGCAACGUGGUCCAAUUCCUUCUCAACGGAGAAAACGUUCUGUCAUCGUCAAGAAUUUUGGACAGAAACAUGUUACUGUCACAUGCAUGUGGGCUCCGUUUUGAAACCUUUUUUCUCAUCUCUUUUCAGGGUCCAGCUACUAUACCCAUGAGGUUUGGUACCCUAUUCUUUUGUCUUUUUCGAAUCCACCGUUGGAUUUAACUUGAGAGUUGUAUAAUGGUCAGAUGUAAUUAUUGGGUCAUUAACAUUAAAAACCCUUGUUGUUCAUGUAAAAUAAGAAAAAUCAAAAGUUUUAUAAUUAUGACAUAUAAGUCCACAAUAUUUAUUUUUUUACUCUAUUGAACUAGGUUUUCAAUUAAAUAACUUAUUCUUAUAUUUAUUAAUAUCUAUUUAAAUUAAUAAAUUUACUUAUUAAUUUAUUAAUUAAUUAAUAUAUUAACUAAUUUAUUACAUAGUUAAACUAUGUAAAUUAUUUGCUAACCAUAAUUGAUGAUAAAUAUAAAUAUGAUUUUUUUUUAAUUUAACACGGCAACCAAUUUCCUUUCACCCAUGUGAGCAGGGUUCAAACCCCAUAUCUUUUUCUUCUUUUUUUCUCGAACAAGAAAUUUUAUAUGUAAAGUAGAUGGAAUACACAAAAUACGAAAAUAAAUUUAAUUUUAUAUUCUAUGUAGGUAAUGUUUUGUUAUUUUUUUAUAACAUAAUAUUUAAUUAACAUACUAAAUUAUUUAAUUAUGUAGUAAAAAUAUUUUAAUUUACUAAUAAUAAUAAAGUGUUGUUUAUGAAUUUGUAAAAUCAUUUUUGUUUGUUUGAGCAAUGAGUUUUUUAUUUUUGAUUGAAUUUUUGUCCUAAAAUAAAAGGAGUAAAUUUAAUUGUAUACUUAAAUAAAUUUAAUUGAGUUUUUGUCCUGAAAAUCGUGGCUUCCAUAAGCAUUAAUGCAAUUAAAAAUUUGUGGGUGUUGGACUAAUAUGUGAAAAUUUAAAACUUUUUAGCUUGUUUGUUUUUAGAAUAAAUUACAGGACUCUAUUAUAAUUGACCUUAAGAAAAAGACAAAAAGGGAUACCAAACCCCUGUUGCAAAGUAGUUUUGCCCCACUUUUCAUUGGGUGAUUUUGUUUGUUUGGAACCUUUGAACAUCAGCCAGUGUAUGCUAUUUAUUUAUUUUUUAAAUUUUAAAUUUAUAAAUGUAAAAUCUUAAUUUAUAAAGUUGAAUUGGUAUUUAUGUAUAUAAAACCGUCAGUCCGACUGCCGAUAAAUAAAAUGGGUCUGCAUUUGGCUACAAGCCAAUUCUCAAUACUUAUAUAAAAUUUUAAUGGCUAUUACUGAGUCGAGGGUAGGGUACUGGAUUAAAAAUGAAAAACAGAAUAAAUUUGCCAGAAAAUUUUAUUAAUAUUCCGUUCUCCGCAUCAUAGCUAAUUAAACAACCGCUUCUUUCUUAGAAAUAUUACGAUAAAAAGACUAAAUUAAAAUAAGCCAAUAUAGAAAUAAGUACAAGAAACGGUACCUUUCGGGUCUUUUCUUUAAUAAAGACGAAAAUAGCAACUAAACUAAAAGUUAACUGCCAUUUCGUGAUUUCCACUUAUAUUGACAAUAAAAAACCGAACACUUUCCACCAAUAAAGUAUUGGUUCCACUGGCAAUGGAGUCCCCUUAAGUGGCUUGAUUGAGUUUGCUUCCCAGUUCGAGUCGCAGGGAAGUCGUCUUUGUUGGGAGAAUCUGUGCCUCACGGUUCGAGCGGGGACUUCUAAUUUAAGUUGUGGUACGGGCUUAAAGAUGUCUCCCACAGUUGGGGCCCUCCCCAAAAUACCUCGUGGUCAAAAAAAAAAAAAAAAAAAAAACCGAACACUUUCCCAACAAAAAAAGGACAUAGAUGCCACUUUAUAAAUAUAAAUAAUGUAAUUACAAUUAUUAAGUUUACUAUUAUAAAUGAUACAUAUUUAUUAAAUCAAAAUGUAAAUAUAAAUAUAAAAAGAAUAAUUAAUGUAAAAUAAGUUUCUUUAAAACAUCACAAGAAGAAGCAACUAUUGUUUGUUAUUUUAAUUUAACAAAGAAAUCGUAAUGAAUUACCAGAUUAAAAGUUUUAUUGAAGAAGAAAAGUAAUUAAUAUAUAUAUAUAUAUAUAUAUAUAUAUAUAUAUAUAUAUAUAUAUUUAAACUUGAGUACUGCGAGAUGAUGAAGACAAAAUGAAAAGCAUUAACAGAGAGAGACACACAAAUCAUAUCUCAUAAAUAUUAUUUAAAAAAAAAAACACUCAUUGUCCACUUCAUCUAUACGGAGUCGUAUACAUAACUAAAACAACAGAUCUGAAUUUUAUCUUUAAAAAAAAAUUAAAAGAGAAAUAUAUAUUAUUACUGUGGCAACUGUAGCUAGCCCUAGGUAGUAGUAGUUGCAUGGAACUUCGAGUCACCACAAUUGCACCAGAUCCCCUGGCUGCAGGUUUUGGAUGCCCUCGUGAGGUUCGGCAGAAGCUAUUACCGCAGCGUGUCCGUUGCAGCAGCGCUUAAACAGAGAAGUUAGCAUUACAUAAAAGAGUGAUAGGAUUAUGAGACACAAAUAAACCACUAAGAAAAGAGAUGGAGCCAAAAUGAGAGAAGCGAUUGUGGAUAUUGCCAACAGACAAGGGAGAUGAUCUCCACAACUCAUGGACAUGGGGCUUCUCACACUGACAGGAAGUCUGAUGGCUGUGAAGAGAAAGACCAGUAAUAUCAGGAAGGGGAAUUGAAGCUUUAAAAUUGGGUACAAAAGUAUCUGAUUGGUUCCAUCUUGGAGGUACCAAGACUGACCAUCUUGAGAUUUCAGGAAGAAAAAGAAGAUUACAAGAUUUAGCAAUGGUGGAAACAAAAAUCUCACAUACAACAGGGCAGUUCAUUUCUGGAAAUGGAAUGUCAAAAAGAAAAUUUCAUACAUUCGCAAUGGAAGAAGAUUUGAGUGCUCAGCCAACCGUAUGAGAGGGCUGCUAGCUCUUGGGGGAUUUAUAGGAUGGCAACAUUAAUUCCUUACGGACUCAUUUUCAUAAAACAAAGGAGAGAGAGAAAGAGAAGAAAACCCUUGCCCUAGCCUCGUAUCAAAAGACAAAAGCGAGCCUCAGCCUCGUGCACAUCUAAUACACACGCGCACUGCAGGCAAAUACGCUUAUGGUCCAGUCAGAUCGAAUCUGUUAUAGACUAAUUAAUUACUCUAUGUUUCUUUUACUAGCUAUAUCAUUGGAUCUUAAUUAAUGACCGAAGAAGAAAUUAUAAAAUACUUCUCCUAAAGCUAAUAUUAAUCGAUCAAAACAACUUCAGAUAUUUCCCAAUAAGCCACUAGAUCAGGAUCAACUCCACAAAUCAAUAUUCCACAAGAUUUUUCCAUUUCACGAAUUAAGAGGUCUGCCAUUACUAGAUUAAAAGGUAAUAAAAUUAAUUACUUAACAUACAUUCUAAAUCAUCCUUAAAUUUUAUAUGUACGGUUCCAGCUGUAGGCGAAACUUUGGAUAGGUAUAAAAAAAAAAAAUUACAAAAAAGGAGUAAAAAUGAAAAAGAAAGAAAAUAUCGAUCUUCGAUCAAACCUCUUCUUCAGGAAUCAGGAGAAAUCAAACGGAGGGGCGGAGCUGGUUUUUUAUCUACAGAUGACUCCAUGGAUAAUCCCUUGAAGCCUCCAAUGCUCUAUACGAUUUUUUUUUUUUUUUUUUGUUGCUGUGUAAGAAUUUUUUUCCAGAAAGAACUUGAACUCGGGAAGAAGAAGACCAGGAGACAUGUAUAGGUAAGGGAGCGACUUACAGUUCGUAAUGCUGCAACGUGGUCCAAUUCCUUGUCAACGAAGAAAAACGUACGACUCUUGUCAUCUUCAAGAAUUAUUGGACGGAAACAUGUUAAAUGUCACGUGCAUGGGACCCGCUUUGAUAGCUUUUUCUCAUCUCUUUUCAUUGUGUUUGUUUGCGAAUCUUUGAACAUCAGGUAGGUGGCGUAUGUUAUUUAUUUUUUAUUUUAAAUUUAUAAAUGCAAAAUCUUAAUUUAUAAAGCUGAAUUGGUAUAUAUAUAUAGAAAACGGUCAGUAUAAAAUUUUAAAAAAAAAAAACAGAAUAAAUUUGACACAAAAUUAAGAUUAAUAUACCGUUCUCCGUAUCAUAAAUAACUAAACAACCGCUUCUUUCCUGGAAAAUCAUAAAUAUUACGAUAAAAAAAAAAAGAGAGCCAAUAUGGAAAUAAGUACAAGAAGCAGAAAAAUGCUUUUCAGCUCUUUUCUUUAAUAUAGACGAAACAGUUUCCAUUCCAAACGAAAAAAAUGUAAAAAAAAAAAAAAAGAUUUGCAUUCCACUCUGUAAAUAAAAUAAAUGUAAUUACACCCUCAUAAUAGAUACAUAUACAUUAAAACAAAAUGUAAAUAUAAAUAUAAAAAGAACAAUUAAGAUAAAAUAAGUUUCUUUAAAACAUCACAAUGAGAAUUGAGAAGCAACUAUUGUUUGUUGUGUUAAUUUAUCUGUGAGCCGCACGUAUUCAUUUAACAAAGAAAUCGUAAUGAAUUACCAGAACUAAAGCUUAACUGAAGAAGAAAAGUAAUUUAUAUAUAAUAUUCUUUUCAACUUUAGUACUGCGUGUUGAUGGAGAGACAAAGUGAAAAUUGUUAACAGAGAGAGACACACGAAUCUCAUAAAUAUUAUUAUUAAAAAAAAGCAUUCGUUGUCUGCGUCGUCUAUACGGAAUCGUAUGCAUAACUAACACAACUGAUCUGAUUUUUAUCUUUUUCUUAAAAAAAAAAAAAAUUAAAACAGAAGCAUAUAUUAUUACUGUGGCACCUGUAGCCAGCUAUAGGUAGUAGUAGUUGCAUGGAAGCUGAAGUCACCACAAUUACACCAUAUCCCCAGAUGGACUUGGCAGCAGGUCUUGGAUGCGCCCACCUUCUACUUUAACUUCAACUUCAGCUUCAGCUUCAGCUUCAUGUCCAACUUCAACUUGACCAUCAGAUUCAGGAACAACAGUGUAUCCUUUGCAGAAGCGCUUAAACAAGGAAGUUGACAUUACAUAAAAGAGUGAUAGGAUCAUGAAACACAGAUAAACCACCAAGAAAAGAGAUGGAGCCAAAAUGAGAGACGCGAUUGUUGAUAUUGCCAACAGACAAGGGAGAUGAUCUCCACAACUCACGGACAUGGGGCUGCUCACUCUGAGAGGAACCCUGAUAGCUGUGAGGAGAAAGAGCAGUAAUAUCAGGACGGCAAGACUCAUGAAGGGGAAUUGAAGCUUUAAAAUUGGGUACAAAAGUAUGUGGUUGGCUCCAUCCUGGAGGGACCAAGACUGACUAUCUUGAGAUCUCAGGAAGAAAAAGAAGACUACAAGAUUUAGCAAUGGUGGAAACAAGAAUCUCACAUCAACAGGACAAUUCAUUUCUGGAAACUGAAUAUCAAAAGAAAACUUCAUACUUUUGCAAUGGAAGAAGAUUUGAGCUCUCAGCUAACCAUAAGAGAGGGCUGCUAGUUGAGCUCUUAGGGGAUUUAUGGGAUGGCAACAUUCCUCACGGCCACAUUUUCAUAAAACCAAGGAGAGAGUAAAAGCAAGAAAAAGACAAAAGAGAACCUACACUUGUACUGUGGCAGCCUGACAGAUAUCUAAAGACAAAAGAUGAUAAAAUCUCUGAUUUGGCCCUCUAUUUUGUCAGACCUGGACUAAGACAUAUUCACACCCACAAACACAAGGAUUCCUCUAAAUUACAUUUAUCGCAACAUACAAUCAGUGAAAUCAUUAGUUGACCAAUAAACUCAUGCUAAGUGAACAUAACAGUGAUAAAUUAAAACUUAUUCAAGUGGUUGAAGCCGGUCACCAAAAAUAAUCAACGCAAAAGGCUCCCUUCCACAGCCGGUCGUGACAAAUAUAACGGCGUCGUUUUAACCAUCAAAUUACCACAACAGUUCCAUCUCUUCCACACAAUCCUCCUCAAAAUUCAGUCCUCCACCACCAAAUUCCAGCCAAAAUCAACGACACCAGUAAGGGGAUUGAUAAGGGUAUUCAUGUAUGAAUACCCUUAGCAAGCCCCUGGUUAGCUAAAGCAGACAUUAGUAUCCUAGCAGCUACAGCAGCAGAGAAAAGUCUCUGUUCACGUAUUCGCCUUAGGUUUAGGCAGUUAGAUGUCAUCGAAUUUGAAUUCCCAUUCAAUGAAGGUUUGACGCAGCAGGCUUGAUUAGGUUGUAUAGCUGGAUCUGGUUGAUUAGGGACGUCCCGGAGGAGAUUUGCAUCGAGCGAAAGAGAAACAACGGUGAGUAUACUCACAAGACGACAAACGUCACUCACUCUUGUGUCGGCAAUUUCACCAGCCCGCAAGCACUUAAUCUCAUCAUUGCGUAACGCCUAUUCCUCCUCUUCUUAUUCUUCUUAUUAUCUGUUUAUUUUAGUAUUUAUUUGAUUAAAUUAAUUCGCUUUGUCAUAAACAAGGAAGAAAACAAUUAUUUAGAGAGAGAGAGAGACUUGUCAAAAUGGGCAGAGAAACUCCAGUUAAAAGCAGGAGAGCAAGCACGCCACUGGCGGCUACGCGUCCGCAAAAGCCGCUAUUUUUGCGUGGUCCCCGACGUCGAUAAACUUAUCUUUAUUAUUUUGACAAGGAUCGAAAAUUCAAAAUUAAGAAAAUAAUAUUGUCAUUUGACUGAAUUCUUAGAUAUGAAUUUUCUUUAGAAUCUUAGAUCAUUAUUUUCUUUUUGGUUCGCUCAAAAUCUGCUGUAAUUUAAAAUCUUAGAUCAUUAUUCUUUUACUUUCAUGCAAUAUUAAUUCGUUAAAAAUUUUAGGCUGCAGUAUCUCAGCAUGGUGAAUGCAAGAUGAGACUCUAGAACUUUAGAUCAAAUAUUAAAUUAAUUGUGCUAUAUAUAUAAUCUCGUAUCACUUGUGUAUUUAUAAUAAUAUAAUUAUGAUUCAGAUUUAAUACAUAUUAUUUCUUAUUUAAUAUAUAACUAAUAAGCCCAAUAUUUCCCAAAAUAAAUUAAACUCAACUUGCUUUUUGAUAAUUUUAUUAGUAAAAAUUAUUGUUAUAUGUCAUAUCUUAUAUAUAUAUAUAUAUAAUGAGAUAACAUAUAACAAUAAGUGGAUAUCCUUGUUCCGCUAUUGAUUAGUGGUUCAUUUGGUCGGACGGCCCUAAGCCAUUUUCUUAAGCAAUAACGGAAAAAUGCAACAAUAUCAAUGAGAUAAGGCUUUCAAUUGGUGAUGGCAUAAAUUCAAAACAAAAACACAAGAACGUAUGAUAUCGGUGUCAUCAAAUUAAACUAUAAGCACUAUCGGUGCCAAAAUUUAUAGCUACGCUGCUACUUUUAACCAGUGUAAAUUCAGGCGAUCCUAUCAUACAAAUUAAAAAUGAAAAUUACGGAAGAAUGAAUUCAGAACAAGCUGAAUCCCUCACAAAACGUCCAUGCAUUCACCGGUUAACCAUGACAACCUUUUUCGUUUUGACGCAAAAAAAUAAUAGAGAGAAAGAGACAAGGAGAAAAAUUGAAAGAUGAAAGCGUUUUUCUCUCUCUUUUUGACACUUCAGCUGCUGGGCAUUUCGUCUGCUUUUUUGCCGGAAGCUUGUUAACCUGUGCCAUGGAAUGCCUGUCCCCCAUUGGAGAACUGAAAUCCACAUUAAAAAGGAAAAAAAAAAAGUACAAUCGAAUGUCACAUUUAGCAAAAGAUGAUGUCACAUUAGACUUGUGCCUAUUACGUGUAUAUAUAUAUAUAUAUAUGUAGAUAAUAGAUUGCAACACCUGUUGUUAUAGUGUCUCUCGUCUCACUAGAUUUGUAUCGACCAAGUCUCUGUACAUCGAUCGGAAGUUCGAAAAUUCAAUAUUCACAAUCCACUGAAGGAAACUUCCUGAGGAAGGUAUCAACUUGCAGACAAGCAUCCAAAAGGAUGGCAAAAAUGAACAUUAAUUACUUGUCCCACAUGCCAAGUAUAUAUAUAAGAUUUAAUUGGCAUCCUGAGAUUUCGAGUUCAUAAUGAAGAUUAAAAGAUUUAAUAUUGGCGGAAAUAAAAAUCUCAAAUAAAAAAAAUUCAAGAUGACUGUGAUUAAGUUUAGGGUCUUCAGAUUGGGAAGCCUAUAUGGCUUUUAUAUAGAGCCCCUUCUCAGCAUCAUAUGGAACCGCCUAUAAAACAAACUACCAUACGCCCAAAAAGAAGAAGAAGAAGAAGAAGAAAGAAAGGGGAAAAAAAAAGUAACGCCAUUAUAACUUUCGAACUUUGUUUUUCUAAAAAAAAGGAAACAAGGUUAUGCACUAUUUGGAUCUUGUUACAUGUGGCAGUGUUUACAAUUAAUGGCCAAGAUUUGUCCCUCCUAUGUCGUUGUUGACCUUUGAUUGAGUAUUAACCAAUGAGGUUUCCCACAUGAUGAAGGAGAUAAAAGAGAUGCAUUGUCAAUAAAUUAACGCUUGCAAAACAGAAAGUAGCCUGUAACAUCCAAUCAUGCACACACAAUCUAUGCUAAUACUGAACAGAAAAAUGAAACUUUGAUUUGAAGUGAGAGUCUUCGAAGGCAACAGCUUCUUUUCUUUUAAAUUGUAUAAUUAUAUACCCUGUAAAUAAGACAGCUUAUUUUUAUUGUAAAGGUGAUGUGAUUUUAACCCACUAAACUAAUCAUUAAAUUUAUUCACUAAAUAAACUUAUCCUAAUAUUUUGAAAUCUUAAAUUUUACUCGAUAAAUUCACCUAAAUAACUAAUGUACCUUUAUGAAACCCAGUUUGUACAAAAAUAAUAUUUUUACUCAUUAAAUUCAUUUAUAAACCCUUAAUGAAUGUUUCAUUAAAUUUCUUCCGUAAUCAUUCUUAAUCAAGAAGAUAUAUCUAGCGACACAUCAACCAUCAAACACAGACUCAUGUUGGCAAUACCAUGGUCAAGUAAGAAAAUGACCUAAUUUACUUCAAAAUCAAAAUAUCACCGCUCAAGUAAGCCAAAUGAUUGACGUCAAAGAAAAGAACCACCCACCCAACAAAGGAAAAAAUAUGGUCUUUCACUUUCAGCUUACUUCACAAAAACAAAAGAAUAGAAAAGAAUAGAAGGUAAAAGGCGCUUAGAUAACAUUAAAGGAGAUAUUCUGUAAUGUAUGGUAUAAGUGGUUUAGAAGAAUAUCCACUCCCAUGCAGUACCUGAUGAUUUUUUUAAAUUCUUUCCUUCUCAUAAAACAUGCGACUAUAUAUAUGUAUAUGAAACUUAUUAAGGAUUUAAUUAGUAGAAAAUCUUGGGGAAAAUACUUCAAAAACCAUCAAUUGUGUAUUAAAGAAACAACCAUGUUUAAUCUUCUGCAAGCAUAGCUCAUAUAACUUUUAAGGAACACAGUUUCCUUGCAAAAAUAUGAAUGAAUGUACAAAAACCCGAAAUGGAAACAAUCAGUGCAGUUACUGAUGUUAAAAGAUGCAUUCAGGGUGCGCAGCGGCCCCAAACGCACAAUCAAUCAAUUUCCCUGACUUCCAACCUUCAAUUUAAUGCAACCACAGUCAUGACCCUCCUAUCCUUAAAAUAGGAUAAGAUUUUCCAUUUAUUGUAUAUUUAAUUGCAGUGCUAGACUUUGUUACAGAGAUUGUCUGCAAAAGUAAAACAGCUCAUUCCUGUUAAUUUCCCUGGAUGAUCAGUUUCACUGGUAAAAUAACUCUUAGCAUAGCCGCUGGGACUUCAUUCAAAAGAAAACACAUAAUGGUGAAGUUAGACCAAGAAAAAUAAGCUAUUGGAAUUGAGUAAUACCAUAAGAACCACAUUGCUUUCCAAAACAAUGACUAGAGGCAUCAGGCAUGAUCAAAAUAACCAAAAGUGAACAUUGUCCCACAGACCAGAAACUUAGUCUUCCCUCUUAUCUUCAAAAAUGCAAUCUUGCCAAAUAACCCAAAAAAGACCUAGAUCAUCACACUGCCAGAUAACCUCGGGUUUCUAUCCUUGCCAAGAAAAGCAAAAAACAUUUUCCAUUAGCGAAGAGCUACAAGAACUUGGAGCAUCCCAAAAUCAAUAACAUAAUUGAGAAUCAAUGCAUGUAUCCGCAAACAUUUGUUUGAUAGACAACUGAUUCCCAAACCAAUUUUAAAUUUCUGACAGACUUACUUCAUUGCCUAAAUUCCUACCAAGAUUUUCAGUUAAUCUGCUCAAAAUACAAUCCAAGGGUGCAUUUAAACAAAUUGGGUUAUUUAAUGCCUAUACCUCAUCGAAUUGCUACCAAAGGUAAUCCCCACCAAACAAUCAACACAUGAAAUACAGGACCUUAACCUUUAGACAGAGAAAAUACGGCUGAAGAAGAAACUAAAAACCCAUAGAACCACUAAAUACUUCUCCUAAUACUAAUAAAGGAACAAAACAACAUCAUAAUACACUCAAUAUACCAUCAAAUGAAUAAAUCCAUACCAAUGACGAGCAAAAUAUGAAAAUUUUCAAGAAUUAACAAUUCUGCGAACAGAAAAUGAUAGUAAUUAUCUGCAUUUUAAAUAAUCCUAAAAUCAGAACAAAGACUUAUUUAUGUCAUAAAAAGAACCUACAAACACUUAGGCCCUGUUCAGUAUUGUUUUCCAAAUGUUGUUUUUGUGAAACAAAAUUGAGAAUGAAAAUACUAGUUUUAAAAUUUAAAAAUGUGAUCAGUAUCAUUUUCAAAAAUAAUCUUGAAAAUGGAAAAAUUAAAAUACGUUCAAUAGGAAUAUUUUAAAGAAUUAUUAUUGGAAUAAUGUCCAUAAACAUAAAAUUAAGUAAUGAAUAAUUAUUUUUAUUAUUUAAUUAGUUUGAUUAUGUUAAUUUUAAGAAUAAAUUAGGUGAUCUUAUUAAUUUUUUUGUUUAAAGAAAAAUGAUAAACUCUACGUAUUUGAUUUAAUUAAUAUAUAAAAACAUAAAUAUUAUAAUGUAUAUAAAAAGAAAAAAUAAUUGUGAGGGAAAUUGAUUUUUGGGUAUAAUAAUAAUAAUAAUACUGUUGAUAUUAUUAUUAUUAUUAUUUUGUGAGAUGGUAGAAGAAAAUUGUUCAUUUUGAAACUUAACAAUAUAUUAGAAAACAAGGAAAAUAAGAAAAAGUUGUUUUCUUAUUUCUUUUGUUAAAAGUGUAGAAUGAAUUUUACAUUUUCAAAAAAAUUUUCAAAAAGGAUCUAUCAAACACAUAUUUAAUAUUUUUUGAAUUAAGAAAACAAAAAACGAGAUUUGGAAACAAUACCGAACGCACCCUUAUUUUUCUUAUUUUUUUAUUUCCAAGCAAAAUCAACAUUCUUCUAUUCUUUCUUCAACAAGAAAACAGGUUAUGUUACAAUAGUCAAUAGGCAGUAGGCAAAACACUUGAUAACUGAAUAUAUAAAAAGAAAUAAAAAGGAGUUAAAAAAAUCAAAAAAAUUGAAAAUUGAAAAUACAAAAAGAUUAAAAAAGAAACUAUAUUUAGAAAAUGAAAAUAUCAACCCCCUUCUGUAGAACAAUUCAAACAGGGAGUUGCUGGUUCUUAAUCAAACAGUAAGUAAUAUUCCACUGAAACCCCAACCCUCUAUUUGAAUUUUUUUUCAUAAGAAUUAUUUUCAAAAUAGAACUUGAACUCUGGAAGACAUAAAAGGAAAAGACAUAGAUGACUGACUGAGUCUGACUGAGAGCGAGUCGCCAGGAUACCGCACCGGUCAGCUUCCAAUUGAACUUGCCAGUUUGGGUUCGAGUCCCAGUCCAACAGGUAGUGAAAGCAGGUAAUUAUCAUAACCAGAUGAAGUAUCAAAACCUGUUUGUAUAAGCCUGCACAUAACAAGUUAAUCAUCAACAAAAGAGGGGGCUGCAGCGAGAAUCAACACAUCAUGUACUAAUUAUAAAACACGUAAAAUUAACGUAUCUUACCAGUCACAAAACCCUUUUUCUUUAGAGAUAAUCUCCCAUUGCAAAUAUAAAAAUGAAAAAGAAAAAAAAAUGACCAUAAAAGUAGAAAAGUCCCCUCUUUUUCUCCAAACAAAUACAACCAUUUCAGUUCACACCUAAGCUCAGAACCAUUCAAGUUUCAACCAAUCAAACAACCAUAGUAUUCUUAUUAAAAAAAAAUGAAAUAACCAUAGAAUAAAAAAAUUAUAAUCCAAUCCAAAUAUUGUUUCAGAAUUUAUGAUUUAUGGUAGACUCAAUUGGUCAAACCUAUGGAAUUGGAAUGAUGCAUUUAUUUAACCCAAAAGGUGAAUAUCAAGCUUAAGGUUCGUACAUAUUGAAAUGAUCAAAUUUCUUUCAUGUGAACAUGAGAUGCAACUUGAACUAUUUCAAGUUAUUCCUAGAGAAAGCAUUAAAAAGAAAUUUGUUCAUCCUACGUGGUAUAAGUAGUAUACUUCAGCUAAUAUUAUGCAUCAUCGGUUAAAUCAUUUGGAUUAUUAACAUUGAUAAUUUUUUAUUAGCUGAAUUGAUAACUGUCGCACCCCUAACUUAAGGACACGUGUGAUAAGAAAAUUUUAUCCACAUCAGGUGCAAGUAUAAGCUUUUAACAAUUAAGCUGUGACUGUUUGCUUACAAGAACAAACAUGUACUAAUAGAGAUGAAUAAAACCCAGCACUUCCAAGAAACUUUGACAUUAUCUCCCCUAAAAUAUGGAUAUUAUGCAAAUACAUCAAACCAGCAAUUUUUAUACCCAGCUGCUUAAAACUUCAAAAGUAAAAAAAUUAAAAUAAAAUAAAACACAACCUUCUCAAGUUAACUCUACUACGGUAUCGGUCAAUACAAUACAGGGGCCUCUGGGACCCUAUUACUACAACAAUAACACAUAUUAGUGCAUCAUACUAAUGUCGCUUAGUCAUUCUAAAUACAUGUAUUAAAAAGCAUAAUAUCUACAAUAAGGUAGCUUACGAUGUCUACUAGGCCAGUAAUGCCAAAGUACAACCAGAACAAAAAUAACAAAGACUGUUCUUCAUUACGAAACACAACUUUCAAAAGAGGUAAUCUCCAUGUUAAGCCCCAAAUCAAAAUCAAUGCUCCACCGACCACAAUUUUUUCACCACCACUGCCAAAACCUGAAAAGUAAGGGGUGAGCUAAUGCCCAGUAGGAAGCCACACACUACAAAGGAUCCUUUUUUUUUUUUUCUUACGCCAAAAUAAUUCACAUAACUUGGGUACAUUUCUAACAUAAACCAUUUAUAUAUAUAUGAAAAAAUAUUUAUUUCUUAAAACUUUUUGAGUUGGAAGUUGGUAUUCAACAGAAAUGAAAAAAGACAAGUUUAUAACAACAUACACACAUACAAACAUAGUGCUGCUCAUACUCCCUGUAGUUUUUUUUUUUGGGAAAAAUACUCCCUGUAGUUAAGAGUAAAGAAAUCCUAAAAUUACUCAUUCAAAAAUACAGAAUAAAAACACGCCUGACAAGUCGGUAAGCUGUAAAUCCUCGGCAAACAUUUUCAACCAAUAAUAAAUUUAAAAAGAAAUACCUUACAUACUUUUGGGCAUUAUUCCCAGGGGCCACCGCCCAUGAUUUCUUUUGCGGACUUUCACCGGGGGUAGAAAUCUGACCAAGGUCAUUCCAGCAUACCGUACUUUUGGGGUGUUAUUCCCAGAGGCCAUCGCCCAUAAUUUCUUUUUGGGCUUCACUGCAGGACAGGAAUCUGACCAUCACCAAUUAACCUUCUGAAACCUCAACUUAAAUAAAAGGAAUAAAAAUUAUUAACUCAUUCAAUAGCAUCAAUGUAAGUUUCCUUACAAUAACACACCACACCAUGAUACUUCUCAAUAACAAUAGCCAUGGAUAACAGAACCCCAGUACAUCCCCAGUUUAACAACACAUCCACAAACUUGAACUGCAAUCAAAGCACCACAGGACACAUAAACACAAUUCAGCUAAACUUCCUAUUCCAAGCUUGGCUCAUAUCACAGUUAAAGUUUAAUUCUCAUUCAUGAUUGCAUCAACCCAAAUUAACUAUCAUAACUGAUUCAAGUAAUUUGACUACAUGGUCUUCAAUUAAAAAUCGCAAUCCUGUUGACAAUUCUAACAUGUCAAUUUUUAUUUUAGCCAUAUGGUCACGUAAUUAAAUGGCUAACCACACACCCACUGCAUUAAUUAUUAAAGGAAGCAAUUAAGCCGUUAACACAUUAAAUCUAAGCAAAACAACUUUUAAGGACUAAAAAAAAAUUCAGAUUAUUGAGCAAGAAAAACAACUUGAUUUUUCGGUUUUGAGAAACAAAAUCACUCAAUUGCAUAUAACCACCUACCUCAAUCCUCCACCAACAGCUCGUAGUUCUCCAAAGACUUCUCAUCUCAUCUAACUCCACUUCCUAUUGAUAAUACAGCGACAAAAAUUAACCAACUAUAAUGCCAAUAAUUUAAGAAUCCCAAAUUUAACACAAUCCUAAACUUGCUGUAAGUUACAGCAGCAGCUAGCAAGGAAACAAUUAAGAAAACAAAGUGGAAAAAAACAACAUUAAUAAAAGUAAGAAGAUUGCAAAAUUGAACCAUGCAUGCACGGAAACUUACCCAAACCAGGUCUAAAGAGUAAGAAUUAUGAGAAAAUCCAGCGAAAGCCAUGUUGGUUUCCCAUAAAUUUCAUACUUGCUGUUGUUCUCAGCUCCCUUCUCAGCUCCCUUAAGUGCACAAUUAUUCUCUGUAAAAAUCAAUUGCUCUCUUUCCCUCCAUUUCUUUUUCUUCUUCUUCUCUCUUCUUUUGUUUUUCCUCGUUAUGUCCCUGUUAUUCUUGUCCCUCUUAUCAUCAUCAUCAUCAUCAUCACCCCUGAACGUUGGUUUUGUUUGUUACAGAGCUUAACAAAAGAAUAAAGAAACCAUAUAAGUUGGUUGUGGGCUCGUCUUAGUUAUAGAUUUUCUUAAAAAAACAAAAAACUAGAGGAAGUUAUAGAACAAUUAAAACAAUAACAAUAAUAAUAAAAUAAACACACGCAACUAUAAAAUAAAUAGAUAAAUUCAACUUAGGAUAAAUUCGGAGCGUUACAAUAACUCUCCAAGCCACAACUGUAUUAUGACCAAUAGACAUUUGGAUAAUAACAGAUAGACAAGAAUAAAAUUUAAAAAAAAACAAAAGAGUUAAAAAAGUUGAUAUAAUGAACCUUGCAGUCAAAUGUCAGCUCUAUCUUCUUCGAACGAACUAAAGGCCAACAAGGAAAAUUUCACAUAAAAGCAACCAGAACACCUGCAAAAUAGCUCAAAUUAAAAGUUUUCUGACUCGUUCAGAGAGACACCAACAAUUUCCAAAACUUUUUGUUGGACCAUCUGACAACAUCAUAGAAAACAAGCAACACCAUAUUUAUUGUCUUUAAGUUAUAAAAAGCUUCAAGCUUUGCAGAUGCGAGGAUAAAAUGAGAAACCAACCAUAGAACAUGCCAUGAGAAAGGGCACAACCAGAGGAAAGAUCUCCAAUGUCUCAGUGUGACACUAAUCAUCAUGAAACGAUAUCAACAGAUAUGAUUUACGGAUACAUGAAAUAUAAAAAGCUUCAAAUGAAAUUAAUAUACAGCGAUAGAAUAUAAAAUAAAUAACUUCAUAAAGAAAGGGUUUACAUUAGGGAGAGGGGAAAAAAACUGAGGUUAAAAGCUGAACUCUGGCUACUGUUCUUUCAUUUGUACGUAAAGCCUCUCAAAUUCUUUAGUCAUGGCAUAAUAGAUUCUCAUAUAUAUAUAUAUAUAUAAUAAUGCUGUUGAAAGAAGCCCCUGAACUUAGAAUCACUUCCACUUCUUUAAGUUAUAAGUUUUGGUAUAUUUGAUGAGAUGUAGAAAGGUUCUUAACCCCAUUUUACUUUGCCACUUCAAAACCUGGAAAGUCUCUCGCAAAACCUGAAAUUAGAUGGAUGGAUUUGAAAUGAAAGGAUUUUCUUACAAAAGCUAAAAAAUACAAUGGCACAGUGAAAAUGGGAAAAUGAAAAUUUAAACUCUAUAUCUUUAGGUUUAUGAAGGGAAGACGCCAACAAUCUUCAACCAACCCACUUGAACACACCCUUUUCUCCUCUUUUGACAUACAAGAUUCCUGCAGGAUCUCACAAGGACUUUGGUCUCAAAAGAGUUUGAUAAGGCUUUAGUCUGUGGGGUUGAAUCCAAUUGGCGUUUUAAAUUUAUAGAAAGCCGUGGUCCAAUUCAACCCAAGAAUUAGUUCAACAAUAAAAAAUUCCUCAGGUUUAUAUUGUUAGCUUAGUUAUUAUUCUCCUUCAAUGUGAGAUAAUAUCAUCAAUAAGAUUCCAUCUUACGGUGCAAUUCGGAGAUGAUACGUGUAAUGGUAGACAAUCUAUGUGUGGGGCUGAAUCCAAUUUGGUGCAAAUCAUUUUUAGCCACUUACCUCAACCCCAUCAAGGCAAAUUUUUAGCAUUUCUAUGGUGAAAAUAAUUUUUCUUAAUCAACUGUCUACUUAUACUAUUGACUUUGAAAUAAAUUAAAAUUUCAUUCAACAUAGAACGAUUUGAAUAGGAUCAUACAUCUACUACAAAUACACAUCAAAAUUGAUUAACAGAUUAUUUAUUAGAAGAAGACAAUGGAUUAAAUUACUGUAUUUACAGUUUAUAAAUGCAAUGUAUAUUCACUCUUCCCUUAGUCCACAAGUAAUUAAAGCUUCAAACAGGUGUACACAUAUAAUUGCCUGAAGUCUACCAAGCUUCUGAGUUAAUAUACUCAAAAUAAACUUUUCUACAGUCACAUUUUUGAUAAAUUGGGAUAUUUAACGCCUUUUUUCUUUGAAAGCUCAUUGUUGGAAUUGGUUGCUGAGUUUCCGGUUAUUAAUUGGACUGUAGUCAUUAACACACACACAAAUCCUUGUGGUACAGUCAGAUCAAAUCUGUUAUAGACUAAUUCUUUUACUAGAUACAUGAUUGGAUCUUAAUGAAUGACCGAAGAAGAAAUUGUAAGAACCCAUACAAGUAUUAGAUCUUCUCCUAAAGCUAAUAUUAAUCGAUCAAAACAACUUCAGAUAUUUCCCAAUAAGCCACUAGAUCAGGAUCAAGUUCACAAUUCAAUAUUCCACAUGAUUUUCCCAUUUCAUGAAGUAAUAGGUCCGCCAUUACUAGGUUAUAAGGUAAUAAAAUUAAUUACUUAACAUGCAUUCUAAAUCAUCCUUAAAUUUUAUAUGUUCGGUUCCAGCUGCAGGCAUAACUUUGGAUGGGCACAGAAAGAAAUAAAAUUACGAAAAAAGGAGUAAAAAUGAAAAAGAAAGAAAAUAUCGAUCAAACCUCUUCUUCAGGAGAAAUCAAACGGAGGGACGGAGCUGGUUUUUGAUCUACAGAUGACUCCAUGGAUAAUCCCUUGAAGCCCCCAACGCUCUAUUUGAUUUUUUUUUUUUUUUUUUUUUGGGUACGUAAGAAUUAUUUUCCACCAAGAACUUGAACUGGGGAAGAGAAAGGCCCGGAGACGUGUGUAGAUAAGGCAGCGACUUACAGUCCUAACGCUGCAACGUGGUCCAAUUCCUUCUCAACGAAGAAAAACAUACGACUCUUGUCAUCUUCAAAGAAACAUGUCAAAUGUCACGUGCAGGGGACCCGUUUUGAAAACUGUCGUCUCAUCCUUAUUAUUUUAUUUUAAAUUUAUAAAUGUAAAAUCUUAAUUUAUAAAGCUGAAUUGGUAUAUAUGUAUAGAAAACGGAAAAGUGCUUUUUAGCUCUUUUCUUUAAUAAAGACGAAAAUAAAAAAAGAGCCAAUAUGGAAAUAAGUACGAGAAGCGGAAAAGUGCUUUUUAGCUCUUUUCUUUAAUAAAGACGAAAAUAGCAACUAAACUAAAAGCUACCUGUCAUUUCACGAGAUCCACUGACAUUGACACAAUAAAAAAACAAACACUUUCCAUUCCAAAAGAAAAAAAUAUAAUAUAAUAAAUGUAAAUACAAUUAUUAAAUUUAAUAUUAUAAUAGAUGCAACAAGGAGGACGAAAUCGAGAAUUUACCCUCCAAUUCGAUCGCAAUAGACGUGAUCGAAAGUCAUUAAUGCCCCUUCAACCAAUUGUAGCUGCGACAGCGACACGACCCGGCGCCCCGCAGCAGUCGCUUUCGAAGUGUGAAAUUGUGGAGGUUCUACCCCUAUAAUUGAACUUUAAAGUUUAAUGUCAUAAUACAAGUCUUAAUUAUGUAUAUCUAAUUAUUAAUCAGUAUUUAAAAAAAAAAAAACUUUAAAGUUUAGGCUAAUUCUCGCGUUUUGAAUAUUAACGAAGUUGCACUGAAGUUUCAUGAAUCUCGCGGAUGGUUGCUUGCUCUUAAGCUUUGUAAUUAGUAUCGUCGGGGGAAAAAAAAAAAAAAGCUUUGUAAUUAGUAGUUUGAUUUUUUUUUUUUUUUUUAUAUUGAGGCUAUAUGGUAAAAUGUUUUCUUUUUUGUCAGAAAAACUUUCCAUUAACACCCACCAUCGUCCUAGAGUUUUCUUGCAUGUUAUAAGCGUCAAAUUAAUGUUAUUUUAUUUUUUAUUUGGAAAUAAAUUUAAUAUUCCAUGCAUUCGAUGGAGGCUUCAGCACUGGCGAGCAGUACCAUAACAGAAUCUCAUAUUCUUAAUAUAUUUUUUUUUUCAAUUUUCAAUUUCUUCUUCACUCUAAAAGAUUAAAUUUUAAAAAUUUCAAAGAAACAUUUCUUUAAGAGAGCUUUAAAAGUUUAAACUCACUACUACAAAACUGAUUUUUUUUUGACAGAAUACCUUUUCACAUGUUUAUUUAUGUGUCAAAGUUUUGCCUCAUAUAUUAUUUUGCUGAUGUGGCAAACACAAUUAUUUCAAAAUCUUAGAGGCCUUGCAAUUUCGAUUAUUCUAUAAGAGACUAGUGACAAAAUACUGUUACAAAUAGUAAGUUAAAUGAUUCUUGAUAGAAUACUAUCAAAAAAUUUAAAUAAAAUCUCUCAUUUUAAUAUUUAAAAAACUGUGUUUUAAAUAUUUUAAAUUUUUCUUGACAUAAUUCUAUCAAUGAAUUUUAAAUUUUAAAUUCCAUGUAGGCAUUGAAAAAUGACAUAGUCUUAAAAGAUAUCAUUGACUUAAUUGAUGAGAAUAUAUCUAUAAUGAAUCAAUGACAAAAUUCUAUUAAACAAAAUUUAUUAUUUUAAUUAUUUUAUGUUGCCACAUCAAUAAAUUAAAAUGAUGACAUUUCAUAUGCUCAAAAGAGAAUAACUUAUUUAAGCCGAAUUCACCACCUCAUCAAAUUGAAAAGGUUUGCUCGACCAAGAAGAAUCUACCAUGUAGAAAAUUCAAUGAGUCUUUUGAAAAGUUGGGCUUCAGUCUAAGCCUAAGUGCAUUAGGUCGGGCUCAUCCAUUUUAAGUGAAGCCUAAGCUCGGACAAAGAACCCAAUAAAUGCUCAAAAAGAUAAAAGAAUAUAUAUUUAUUUUUAAUUAAAAUACACGUUUUAAUAUUUGCUUAAUCUAUCUGUAACAUAUAUUUAAAGUUUGAAUUCUUUAGCACAACUUUUAAUACCUAAUCUAAUAAAAAAAAGUUUAUAAAUUAUAAAAUUUAAAAAGUACAAUGAAAAAGGUUUAAAAAAAAUUGAAGUAUAAAUCUGAGCUUUUACAAUAAAAUAUCAAAUGGUGGCAAAAUGGGCCCGAAAAGUGCACCAAAUCAAAAUUAUUAAAAGUUCCACUAUUCUAGAGUUAUUACUAAUUAUCAAAAUUAUUAAAAAUUCCACAGCAAAGCAAAUGUGGAAAUUAACCCCUUUUUUUGGAGGAUAAGGAGGAUCUGAGAUUGAUAAUUGCACUGUGGUGGAUAGCAUGGAAUACAAGAAAUCUUUUUGUUUUUGAGAAGAAAAUGCUGGAACCACAGAGGGCAGUAGCUAAAGCUGAAGCUAUGGCGCAGGCAUAUGCUAGAGUUAAAAUGUCCAAAGGGAAAGUGGCAGCAAGAACAGAAGUAACAAGGAAGGUAAGCUGGCUUUCCCCUCCUCAAGGCACUUACAAGAUCAACUUUGAUGCAGCAAUUAACAGAGAAACACACCAAGGAGGGCUGGGAGUGGUGAUUAGAGGUGGGAAUGGAAGUGUUUUGACUGCAGCAGUUCAACAGAUAAAUUUUAAUGGUGAUGUAGCUCAGAUAGGAGCAGCAGCCGUUAAGUUGGGGAUCCAGAUGGCAAAGGAUGGAGAGUGGACCCCUUUGAUCAUUGAAACUGAUUGUAAAGAGGUUGUUGAGUUGGUGUUGCAAAAGAAGAGUAGCAGAACGGAGAUAUGUUGGAUCAUUGCCGAUAUCCAAAACAAAAUGGAGGGAGACAACAUGACUGUAAUCCGGCACAUUCCAAGUUGCGCAUGCUUUAGCUAAAAUAGCUGUAGUGAUUUAAUUGCCUUGAUUCUAAUAAGCAAUAAACCACUGCCCAAGAACAUUUACCAAGAUCAAUACAAGUUGCAAUUAACCAAUAAUCAAUCUGAAGCUCCAAUAACGAAAAAAAACCUUAGCUCUAGGUUAAUGGAGAUCUAACAGAAGAUUAAAACAGAUCAAGAAGCAAACACACUCACUCAAAGACAGGAUUUAACGUGGUUCGAUAGUACAUGGAAUGCACAAUCAACAUCCACGGGAGAAGCCACAGAAAAAGCUUUAUUGAUGAUUCAAGAUGACAAUUACAGAGCUUCUAUACAAGAGAUUACAAGCAACAAGAAGAUUACCCUCUCUCACUCUUCAAUCUCUCUGGAAAGCUCUCUUCAAAAUCUGUCUGUUUUCCCUUCAACAAUCGGCCUUUAUACUCCUGAUGUUGAAACCUAGAUUGCACAGCUUCUGGACGCGUGUAUAACGACUUCAUAACGGCUUUGAUUCCCUCCCUCACAUGCUGUUUCACGUGCCUAACUUAAGUUUGCUCAAAACGACAGAAGCUAGAGUCGUUUUUCCUUGAGUGUAGUGAAGAGAACAGGACGCACAAAGCACGUGAUUUGUAAAUGAUUUUACUAACCCAAAACACAGUCGUUUUAGGGCUUCUAGUUUUGGAUUCAUCUCAUUUUAGUCCACAAUAGCUUUAGCAGGCAGUGAUCUUUGUGUUUGGAGGGGAUCAUUUCCUCCUCAAAUCAUGGAUGUAAUCACUCAGUUGGUUUUAAUGAAAGCUUUUCUUUCUAUCCAAAAAAAAAAAAAAUCUACUAUUCAAUCCCCAAAAUUUUUAUGUGCCGCCGAAAUAAAAUUAGAGUAAUGAUAUAGCCACAAACUCUUGUAUAAACUUAUUUUGUAUAAACUGAUGUGGCAUGAUAAGAUUGGUUGAAUUAAAUAUCACUUGGUCCACAUGAUUUUUUUUUAUUAUUUUAUAUUUUCAUUCAACCAAUGAAUUAAUGCCACGUCAGUUUGUACAAAAUAAGUUUGUACAAGAGUUUGUGGCUGUAUCAUUACUCAUAAAAUUAACACAAAAACAUGUUGUCAUUGAAAGGUUAGAACGAAACUCUCGGCUCUCUCUGGCACUUUGCCUUCCUCUUUGGCACUUUAUCUCCCUCUCACAAAUGUUAAACCUCACCUGUCAAAAGUAACAUGCAAAAUUUAUGUUUCUUGAUCUAGUCCUGACAAAUAACCCGUUUGCUUUCAUCACUUCCUGAGCAAUCAUCUCCAAAAAUGAAACAAAUGAAAUUCAAAUAGGUAAUUUAAUAGUUUUGGGGUUCGGCUUUUUAUUCUUCUCUCCAGAUUUUUUUUUUUUUUUUUUUUUUUGGGCCUCUGAAAUAAUCUUAAAACAAUAAUUUUUUUUUUUUUGUAUAAUUUCAGCAAGGUCCAGAUUGCUCAAGAGGUAAUUUCAUCUCAAGAUUGUCUUUACCUCUUGCUUGGCUUUCAUUGGUUUCUCAUGUGCGCUAGCUUUUGACAUUACUUGACCUUGUUCUUUGUUUGUUAUAAAUUUAUUCAGGCUUUUUUACAUUAUAAUUUAAGGUCUUUGUUUACUUUUAUUAAAAUUUAUGAUAUACGAAUAGUAAUUUUGGCUUGUUUGCAUAAUUGUGGUCGCUAUUAUUACAAGAUUUUUUGUUGCAAUUUUUGACGUAUUUCUUGUUGUGAUUGUCGAAUUAGUCUCGAUUGUAAUGAGCAUGAAGAUUUAAAUAUUUAAUGGAUGUUAAAAUUUAAGUAACAACUAGAAUUUGUACACCAAGGCCAUGUUUGCUUGGGGGUAGAGAAGUGUGAAGAGGAAAAGAAUUUGAUUUCUUUUAUACUUUGUAUUGUUUGGUUAGACCAAAUUUAAUAGAAUUGAAUUUUCAUUGAAAUUCAAUUUCCAUCAAUUUGAACAAUUUGUAUUCCUUUUCAAUGACUAAGGAUUUCAAAUUCCUUAUCUAUUUAAACACAAAAAUUCCAAUAUUAUCCUCUAAACAAAAUCAAUUUUAAAUAAAUUAAAGUACAAAUAAUUUAUAUUUAUUUUCUUAAAUUAAUAGGAUAAACUUAUUUGAAAAAGAAGAAACAGUAAAGUAACUCGUUGGAGUUUCGUCGGAGACACGCUUUACCAUCAAAACCAGUACCAAUGGAAUCCUCAUGAGCCGAUCUACAACUCUAUGGGGUUAGAAAUGCUAAUAUACAUUUUUAUUUAACUCAAGUCUUGUUUAAAUGCUUGGGAAAUUUUUAACUCUCAUAUUUCCAACUAUAUAGUGUAUUUUCUGCAAAAUUAACAUUUCUGAUGAGUAAAUCGUCCAUUUUUAUCAUUAUUAUGCAUUUAACGAGAUGAAAAAUGGUGGUCAACAAUAGUCAAUGGCGGUCAACGGCGAUCAACGUGCAUGGCCAAAUGCUGUAAUUUUAAAAAAAUAAUUUUGUUAUUUAAUUAGGUAAUUUAUAGAUUAACUUAAUUCAUAUUUUUAUUAUUUUUUAAUUUAUUAACACUAUUAACAUUAAAGAUAAUGGGUAUAUUUGUCCAAAUAAAAAAUAUGUAAUUUCUUUUCCUUUCAAAUUUAAUGUGAAACCAAAAAAUAACAAUUAAUUUUUGCACUAUUUUCCUCUCAUCACCUCUCCAUUCCUCUCCUUUUUUCUCCUCUAUUUUCCUAUCCUUUUUUAAAACUAAACACCACCCAAAGUGUUUGUUAUAAUGCCGUGUGUUAUUGUCAAUAGUUUUUUUUUUUAACUAACAGCAUAAACUUGAUAAUAUUUUUUAAUUUUUUUUCCAAGAUGCAGUUUUUUGAUAAAGAAUAAACCAAAUGAUUAAGAGUGUUUAGAUACAAUUUUCAAAUUAGAGCAUAUGAUAAUUUAAAAGUAAUUGAUUUCCCAAGAGUAAAAUUAUGAUAUUUCAUCUCAAGGCAACUUAUAUUGUUAGCUGAUUUUAUGAGUCAGUUUAACAAUUUUCUACACAAAUAAAAUAGUUGUUUAAGUACUACAUAAAUAUAUGUGUUGUAAUUUCAUCUCAAAGCAGCAUGCGCAUGAAGUGGCAACGAAAUACAACAAAAAAAAGUUGUUAAGUAUUACAAAGUGAUAAUUCUCAUGAUGAAAUUAGAAUUUGUAAAUUGGCCUAAAUACUAUUUAAUAUUUACUUGUAAAAAGCCUAUGGCAUGAGAUUCACUUGCUAAGAUAUUGGAGUAGUGUUGAUGCAAUUUUCUGUCAUGCCUGCAGAUUCAACUUGCCAGGAUUUCGGUUAUGCCUUCAGGUUCAAGUAUUGUUGCUGAUUAAGCGAGCUGUUGAGAUAAUUGAGCAUGGCUUUAGAUUCAAUUUCAGCAAAUGUGUGGGGAGAGGAUUUAAUUCGAAUGAUUUAUGGUUCUGUAAAAAAAGAAAAUUUCUUUAUGUUAACUUGCAACAAUAUGUAUGUAAAUUUUUACGAUAUUAGCAAUAUUUAAUAACAGAAUAGUUGAAAUAUUUUUAAAUUGCAUUGUAGUUUUUAAAAAUAUAUAAUCAAUAUAUGAUUUUAUUAUUGUAAUUGUACAACAAAAAUAAGGGUUGUUGGUAAUUGAAAGAAAAACAAAUUAAUUAUUUUAAAAUAAAUAAUAAUAUUGACCCAAAUUUUUUACAUAAAUUAAGCUCAAAAAAAUUAAUCAGCAUAAAAUGUCAGAAGCUAUUGAUUAGCAUCUAUCAUUGAUUUGUGAUAGAAUUAUAAUGUUAUGUAAGCAUAAAAUUUAUUUGCCAUGUCAAAUGUCAUGUCUGCAAAAUAUGAUGACAUGUCAUCUACCAUGUCAAAUGCCAUGUUUGCAAAAUGAGAUGUCAUGUCAUUUGCUACAUUAGAUUUAAUGUAAAUAGUGAAUUGUAAUACAAUUCCUUGACAGAAAUAUUUUGUCACUAAUUAUUGAAUUUUUUGUCACUAUAUUCUUACAAGGACUUUUUUGACAGAAUAAAAUUAUGUCGGUAACAUGAUUUGUGACAAAAUUUUUCUGUCAAAAAAUCCCAUUUUUUUUAGUGGUGCAUGAGAAAGGAAUUAGUCUAUGGUUAAGGCAUGUGCAAUGAGAUAUCUCACUAGCUCAGAUUCAAUAUUGACGAGAGUUGUGUUGAUUAUUUCAAAGAUCUUGUAUUGUAUAUUUAUUUAUUAUAUUAUAUGGGUAUGAGUUAAUUACAAUAUAUAUCAUGAAAACAAUAUUUACUCAUAAAGGGUCUUCAGCCAUAGUUCUUUCAUCUUUGUUUCUGUGGCGUUACAAACAUUCGAAAAUCCAUUUGUGGUAUUCAUGGAUAAAGAAAAUGCUUCUAAUUUGAUCCAAUUAAUAAAAAGAGCGUGCUUUUGAUAUUCGUGGACUAAGGGGACGUUUGAUCUAAUUCGUUGAUUUAUAGAAAUUUAUGGUCUAACUCAACUCAAAAACUAGUUCAAAAAUUGAAAUUUCUUACCCCAUCAGUCUCCAUUUAAUUUUUAAAUACCUCUCCUGAGAUUUGAGGUAUUCAUUCAGAUGGCGGGUUUACUCAUAUUUUCACAUACUUCUCCCUCUGCUGUCUAUAUAAAUGCAUGUAUGGUAUUAGUAUACAAGGGUAAAUUCGUUAAGGUUGUUGGCUUGUGUGGGGAUCUUGUAAUCAGGCUUUUAUUCCCAAAGGAGAGGAUUUGAAUGUGUUGCCCGCUCUCCCAAUAUACAAAGGGUGAGCACAGCUAAAAUUAGGUUGCAGAUUAGGACAUUAACUACUUAGAGAAACUUUCUCAUUUUAGUUGCUAAUUAGUCACACUUAAAUUUACAAUAAUUGGAGCUUAAUUAAUUGAUAACGGUAACAAAUAUCAGACCUAACUUAAAGGCUGAGUGGUUAGAACAGCUGCUCCAUAUUUAAAAGUAGGGCCUUGACGCUUAUAUUCUUUGAAAUGAUCCUCCUAUCUUACAACUAAUGUAAGAUAACAAUGUGUGAACCCCAUAUAUGCACUGUUCAUGUGAGGGGGAUGUAUCUUACAUUAGUUGUAAGAUAGUGUUUGCCUCUUUGAAAACCUCAUUCUAGAAAUUGCUUUUUGAGUAUUAUUAGUUGAAAAAUUGUCAUUAAUACACACUCACACGCACACUUAUGGUACCGUUAGAUAGAAUCUGUUAUAAAUUAAUUAAUUCCAACAUGUUUCUUUUACUAGCUAGUUGGUUUUUUAAACAUGUGUAUGAAUUAUCUAAUGCUAUGUAACACAUAAUCCAGCACAACAAGAUUAAAUUAAACAGAAGACUUAUGAGGCUUGAAAGUCACAAAGCAGGCUUUUCUAUUAUAAUACAACAUGCAGUAUUGCCUUCGGUGGAAAAAAAAGAGAGCUUAAAUUUAAUGUUAAUUUUGGGAUAAUUAUUUUCAGGAGUAAUUUUUUAAAGAGAUGAAUCAAUUUUAUAAAUUGUCUUUUUGCGGCGGGGGACAAAUUAAUAUUUUCCAUUUUAUUUUAAAUCAGAGUUAGGAUCUAGCUAUGGUGCAGCUGAUGUGUGUAUAUGCGUGUGGUGUGUGAGUGUUGUGCGUGCGUUACUUUUUUUUUAAAUUUUAGCCAACCCGAUCGGAUUUUCGGAUCGGAUCGGGUUUGACCUGAUCCAAUCACGACCCGAUCGGGUGAUUUUAAAAAUCACCCGAUCAGGUAUUAUCCUCCAUCCGAUCCGAUCCGAUCUUAACCCGAUUUUUUUUGAAUCGGGUCGGAUUGGAUCGGAUAAAAUGCCCACCCCUAGUUCAUAGUUCAUAGGGUGAUGGCAGUUUUCAACUUCAAGCAAGAAAUCAGAAGUAUGGCAAGGUGUGUCAUGUUUGAACAGGUGCAUCUUCUGCACUUUUUUAUCUUUACACUCACUCUUUUACAAGGAAGAACAAUGUAGAUGUGAAGGAAUGGCCAAUAACAUCAGUACAAGAAAAAAAAAAUAAUAAUAAUAUUACUAUUAUUAUUAUUAUUAUUAUUAUUAUUAUUAUUAUUAUUAUUAUUAUUAGUAGGUAAAUUUAAUGUCCAACUAUCAAUUUCCUUUUUCCUUUUUUGGCUUAGAAUUAAGCUGCCAAUUUGACAAGCCUUGAGGAAAGGAAAGUUGUACUUUAAAAUUAUGCCUUGGCAUGGGCAAAUCAAUAUUUGCUUGCAGCUAACUAACUGUUGAGGAUGGGAACUUUAGAAUUCCAAAGAAGACUAGGAGUAACUUAGUGUAUUGAUAAUAACAAUGUUUAUGAUUCAUUUCUUCAUCUAGGAAACAGAAAAAUUUCAUUGUAAAAUUGUUUCUCUUUUUCACUUUAAGACCUAGCAUUACAGCCAUCAAUAUUAUUUCAUUAGCAUCAGUUUUUCAUCCUAUUCAUACCUCUAAUGUAUUGAUAUGGACAUGUACCAAUACGCCUUCAGCUCGAGAGGGGUCAACUGCUCAGAGUCGAUCCUUAUCUAGUCAGGAGAUGGAAACAACAUUUUCACCACCUGGAACAGUAUGGAAUUGACUAGAUAAUUGGAUGUAAUGGAUACAUCUGGAUUGGUGAGCAUGUUGAAGCCAGAGACAAGAUGGCGGUGGAUCAAGGAAGCGAUUCUGAACAACCGAUCACCAAAUAUGAUAAAAUUUCCAUGGAUCUUGAUGAACAAGAUGGAACUUGCACUCCACGAGAAGCGAGACAGAACAUUUGCAGAAUUGCAAUUCUUUUAUUUGGGGUUAGGCCUUUGGUGGUUUGGCAUUGUUUGUUUUUCCAAGUUGUACACGUUUCUGGGAUUUGCUUCAUUCGUUCGCAGGGAGCACGGUUUAUUUCUUGUUAUCUCCAUAGGCGUGAAUGCUUAUAUUACGUGUUAUUGUUAAGAUGCAUGUACUACUUCAGUUCUGAUAACUUAUGUCCAUCAGGAUUAGGCAGCGGCGCAUGUUUGUGUCAUCAUUCAAAGUAUCACUACUAUUCUUUUAUAAUUCUGUUCAAUGUUGUAGCCCUUAACUCAUAUUUGUUCCUUCCUUCUGGCGAUUGAUCCUUGAAGUCUCUUUGUUGGUUCAAUUUUAGUUUUUAUGGUUGCACAGAAGAAUGUGGUCUGCAUGUAUUCAGUGUCAUUAAUUUGCAGCAAUGAUCAUUGUAUCCCACUUUCCGCUUGCAGCUUUGGGAAAUUCACAAUAAGCCCUGUCAGUCUGGGUCUUUCUAUAUGCAUGUGCCUCUAUUCGGGUGCAUGCUUGUCUGUGGUAUGUGAGCAUGCUUGUGAUACAAUUAUCUAAUGCCUACUAUUUCAUUGAUUGUGGAGAAGAGUAGGGUGUAUGCACAUUGGGUUGAUUGGCAGAAUGGUAUGUCUGUCAUUGUUACAUCCAUUCCUUCUUGAUAACGGUUGCAAAAUUCUUGUUACAAAGUUCUUGGCCUUGCUAAAUCUUUCACUUACAAACCCGUACAGGUGGUCACUGACUCAAUCAUAAAGUUACUGAUAUGGAUUCUCAACAAGGAUUAGACACAGGUGUCGCUCUCAAGUUCAAUAAUAACACGGAUCCAUAAAUUAAGUCUUGACAACAUAACGAGUAAUUUCUGUUUCUUCAAUGCUUGUAACAAUGAAGUUGGUGAAGCUAGUCUUUUCAUUUCAAAUGUACUAGUUCUGCUUUCCAAUUCUUCAUCUUCAUCAUUCUCACCAUGUCCAUCUCUAGUAGAGGGGGUGGACUCCUCGGCAAUUUUGGCAGCAUUUCUUUUUUCAACAUUCAACCUGAUCUGCAACUUUCUUUCAACAGGAUCAUUUGAGGGUCCAAUUUUUUAUUGGCAUGAAACUUUUGUGCCAAGUCCAAGCCUACGACAACACGAGGAAUGUUAUUUCCAGCAUCCUAUGAUGACGAAAAAAAUUAGGAUGGAUACACUGACCUAGAAGGCCUGGCCUCCAGUGUUUUCUAAAAAAAUUUCUUGUCAUCUAUCUACUUGCUGUUUAUUACUACUAAAAAAAUUAACCCUGAACCUUCUAAUAAUACUUAUGGAUGCCACUGUUGCAAUAAAUAAUUUAUAUCUGCCUAUUUAAAGAUCAAACAUAUUAGAAAAAGGAAAAAUAAAACAAAACAAACAAAAACUGUCUGCCAAGUACACUGAGCAAGUAGAUAUUCCAACUUCAAUCAAUCGAAAAAGAAAUUAAAUCUUACCCAGAUGCAUCUCUAUGAAGGCGAUCUGCAACCCAUGCCAGCAGCUUGCGGAUGCAGUCAAUAGAUCCUCCUCUAGCUGCCAAGUGAAGAGGAGUGCUUCCUCUGCAAACAAACAGAUAAAGAAAUAAAUAUAGAAUAAAAAUGAAAAAGAGAAACGGACAUCAACAGGUGAAGAAUUACCAAAAUGAAUGUGAUCCCAAAGCUUCUCAAAGAUCUCGUGACUUCUAUACGGUGAGAUUAUGGCCACAACGCCAGGAUUUGCACUUUCGGCUUAGGUUGUUGUGUGUUGAUUGAAAGCUGCAAGGGCUUAGUCAUCCAUAUACAACCAUGUCAAAAGCUAGCCCUGCCCAACUAAGGCCAAAUGGAUGACAAAUAGUGAACAUUAUCCCACAGACAGGAAACUUGGUCUUCCCUCUUAUAUUAAAAAAUGAAUUCUUGCCAAAUAACCCAAAAAGGAGCUAGAACAUUACACUGCCCGAGAACCUUAGGUUCUAUCCUUGCCCAAAAGCAAAAAACAUUUUCCAUUAGCAAAUAGCUACAAGAAUUUGGAGCAUCCCAAAAUCAAUAACAUAAUUGAGAAUCAAUGCAUGUAUCCGCAAGCAUUUAUUUAGUAGACAACUGAUUCCCAAAACAAUUUUAAAUUUCUGACAGAAUUACUUUAUUGCCUAAAUUUUACCAAGCUUUUCAGUUAAUAUGCUCAAAAUACAAUCCACAGCUGCAUUUAAAUAAAUUGGGUUAUUUAAAGCCUACAAUCUUUGGAACCUCAUCGAAUUGCUACCAAAAGUAAUCCACACCAAACAAUCAACACGUGAAAUACAAGACCUUUUGAAAUACACGUGAAAUACGGCUGACGAAGAAAUUAGAAACCCAUAGAGGCACUAUACUUCUCCUAAUACUAAUAAUGGAACAAAAUAACAUCAUAAAACACUCAAUAUGCCAUUAGAGGAAUAAAUCCAUACCAAUGACGAGCUAAAUAUGACGUUUUUCUAGAAUUAAUAAUUCUUGAAACAAAAAAGCACAGUAAUUAUCUGCAUUUGAAAUAAUCCUAAAACCAGGAUAAUGACUUAUUUAUGUCAUGAAAAGAACCUACAAACGCUUAUUUUUUAAUCUUUUUAAUUUCCAAGCAAAAACAACAUUCUUCUAUUCUUUUGUCAACAAUAAAACAAGUUAUGUUACAAUAAUUAUUUUCAACAUAGAACUUGAACCCUGGGAGAGAUAAAAGGAAAAGACAUAGAUGUCUGACUGAGAGAGAGUUAAGACAGUGUGAGAGGUAAAAGAACAACACGGCUUAGAAGUUAGAAUCAUCAUCCACUUAUCUCCCUUAGUCGUUGGUGUAAAAGUCCUCAUAGAAGAAAGAAAUAUUAUUUUGAAGGGUAAAAUGUAAACAAAUUAAAAUUUUAGAUAAAAUUGUGACACGUUUAUAUUAAGCGCGUAUAUUAAGAUUUAAGCGAGAGUCGCCAGUAUACCACACAGGUCAGCUCCCAGUUGAACUUGUGAGUUUGGGUUUGAGUUCCAGUCCCACAGUUAGUGAAAGUAGGUAUUAGGUAAUCAUCUUUACCAGCUGAAAUAUGAAAACCUGUUUGUAUAAGCC
This 40150-nucleotide long non-coding RNA is filed under the name Citrus maxima (pomelo). RNAcentral's name for it is "long non-coding RNA (CMAX_LNC003669)". Lineage: Eukaryota; Viridiplantae; Streptophyta; Magnoliopsida; Sapindales; Rutaceae. The record is from RNAcentral.